AGGUCUACGUGUAGACCGAUGAGAGUACCAUACGAAUAAGCACCGGCUAACUCCGUGCCAGCAGCCGCGGUAAUACGGAGGGUGCAAGCGUUAUCCGGAUUUAUUGGGUUUAAAGGGUGCGUAGGCGGUUUGAUAAGUCAGCGGUGAAAUAUUUCAGCUUAACUGGAAGGGUGCCGUUGAUACUGUCAGGCUUGAAUUUAGUUGCUGUGGGUGGAAUGUGUGGUGUAGCGGUGAAAUGCAUAGAUAUCACACAGAAUAUCGAUUGCGAAGGCAGCUCACAAAGCUAAUAUUGACGCUGAUGCACGAAAGUGUGGGGAUCAAACAGGAUUAGAUACCCUGGUAGUCCACACUGUAAACGAUGAUAACUCGCUGUCGGCGAUACACAGUCGGUGGCCAAGCGAAAGCGAUAAGUUAUCCACCUGGGGAGUACGACCGCAAGGUUGAAACUCAAAGGAAUUGACGGA
This 464-nucleotide ribosomal RNA is filed under the name uncultured bacterium. Its description in RNAcentral is "bacterial SSU rRNA". It matches the Rfam family "Bacterial small subunit ribosomal RNA", at positions 452 to 917 of the family's 1533-position model. The record is from RNAcentral.